AAGAUCUUAAGUUAAAUUAAACUAACAUCCUUCAAAGUUGUAAAUAAAAGAAUAUCUUUUAGAUCUUA
This 68-nucleotide transfer RNA is filed under the name Austinogebia edulis. Its description in RNAcentral is "tRNA-Trp". The record is from RNAcentral. Lineage: Eukaryota; Metazoa; Arthropoda; Malacostraca; Decapoda; Upogebiidae.